ACCAGAGUUCGACAGAGAGCAGGUGGUGCAAGGGUUUGGCGGAGGAGGUUAGGUUUAUACGAUUCGGCGAUCCCUCCGAGGGGUCCAGUAGCAAUGACGCCCAUGGCGGCGAUCAUGGGCCUUCUCUUGGCCUUGAGCGCUGUGGUGGUGAUCUCUGCUGAGAAGUACCCCUCCCCUUCUCCACCGCCUUACCAUUACAAGUCUCCACCACCACAUCCACCCAAGGAGCACUACCCUCCUCCUCCGAAGAAGCACUACUACUACAAGUCCCCGCCACCGCCUCCUCCACCGGAGAAGCACUACUACUACAAGUCCCCGCCACCGCCUCCUCCUCCCAAGAAGCACUACUACUACAAGUCCCCGCCACCGCCUCCUCCACCCAAGAAGCACUACUACGACAAGUCUCCCCCUCCACCUCCUCCUCCCAAGAAGCACUACUACGACAAGUCUCCCCCGCCACCACACA
Molecule: long non-coding RNA, 466 nt
Filed under: Spirodela polyrhiza (greater duckweed)
Lineage: Eukaryota; Viridiplantae; Streptophyta; Magnoliopsida; Alismatales; Araceae
Description: long non-coding RNA (SPOL_LNC000708)
Source: RNAcentral